This is a long non-coding RNA of Sapajus apella (tufted capuchin), 117 nucleotides long. RefSeq lists it as uncharacterized. The transcript has 2 exons. NCBI's taxonomy places the organism in Eukaryota, Metazoa, Chordata, Mammalia, Primates, Cebidae. The record is from RefSeq and is a predicted model, not a curated record.
GGUGGCUCACGUCUGUAAUCCCAGCACUUUGGGAGGCCGAGGCGGGAGGCUCACUUGAGGCCAGGGGUUCGAGGCCAGCUUAGGCAGCAUAGUGAGCCCCCUCCAUCUCUUAAAAAA